UACUGUUAAAAAUUUACUGAAAAGAUAAAUUGUAAAUAAUGUAAAUGUACCUUUUGCAUAAUGGUUAAAUAAUAAAAGUUUAAGUUUAUAUACCCCGAAGUUAGAAGAUCUAAUUUUAUUAAAUCUAUUAGGAAAAUAAUGUUGCAAAAUUAUAAAUAAUUAAAAUUAGGAGUGAAAGGCUUGGCAAUUCUAAAGAUAUCUGGAAUAAUUUUAAAUGUAUUUAGUACAGGACAAAUUUGAGUAGAAAAAUGUUAAGAUUUUUUUAAUAAGAAUAUUAAUAUAUUAAAUUGUUUAAAAUCCUUAUUUAAAUGAUAUUUAAAAUUAAUUAUUUUUUCAUCUAUAAUAAAAUUAUACCUAAAUUUACUAAAGUUUAAUUAUGUUUAAAUUAGUAUUAAAAUUUUUUUAAAAUAAGGAACUCGGCUAAUUAUUCGUCUGUUUAUCAAACAUUGAGUAAAUUUAACGGCCGCAGUACUUUGACUGUGCUAAGGUAGCAUAAUAAAUUGACCUUUAAUUGGGGCCUUGAAUGAAAGGAUCGAUAAUCUCUGUCUCUAUUAAUUAAUUAAAAUUUACUUAGAAGGUGAAAAUUCCUUUAAGAUUUAAAAAAGACGAGAAGACCCUAGGAGUUUAUAAUUUUGUUGGGGCGACAAUGUAACAUAACUUGCAUUAUUUAAAAUUUAACAAUAAUUUUAAUAAAAAAUAAACUACCCUAGGGAUAACAGCAUAAUUUAUUAAGUUUGUGACCUCGAUGUUGGA
This 753-nucleotide ribosomal RNA is filed under the name Geminitor kullaensis. RNAcentral describes it as "Helicarionidae gen. G sp. k FK-2022 partial large subunit ribosomal RNA". The record is from RNAcentral. Lineage: Eukaryota; Metazoa; Mollusca; Gastropoda; Stylommatophora; Helicarionidae.